Molecule: ribosomal RNA, 482 nt
Filed under: uncultured Rhodoferax sp.
Lineage: Bacteria; Pseudomonadati; Pseudomonadota; Betaproteobacteria; Burkholderiales; Comamonadaceae
Description: bacterial SSU rRNA
Rfam family: Bacterial small subunit ribosomal RNA
Source: RNAcentral
AAACUUAAGGAAUUGACGGGACCGCACAAGCGGUGGAUGAUGUGGUUUAAUUCGAUGCAACGACGAAAACCUUACCCACCUUUGGCAUGUACGGAACCCUUUAGAGAUAGAGGGGUGCUCGAAAGAGAGCCGUAACACAGGUGCUGCAUGGCUGUCGUCAGCUCGUGUCGUGAGAUGUUGGGUUAAGUCCCGCAACGAGCGCAACCCUUGUCAUUAGUUGCUACAUUCAGUUGGGCACUCUAAUGAGACUGCCGGUGACAAGCCGGAGGAAGGUGGGGAUGACGUCAAGUCCUCAUGGCCCUUAUAGGUGGGGCUACACACGUCAUACAAUGGCUGGUACAAAGGGUUGCCAACCCGCGAGGGGGAGCCAAUCCCAUAAAGCCAGUCGUAGUCCGGAUCGUAGUCUGCAACUCGACUACGUGAAGUCGGAAUCGCUAGUAAUCGUGGAUCAGAAUGUCACGGUGAAUACGUUCCCGGGUCUU